AGCUGUGCUGCCCGGGGAAUAGUGCAAGGAAACAAGUCUCACACAGCAGGAAUAGCUCAUGGACUUGUUGGAGCUUGUGCAGAGCAGGACUCCUUUAAUCACCCUUUCUCAAGAGCUCCCAGAAGGACUCAGCCAUAAUGCAAACAGCGAAGUGAGGAGCAUGAAACAGUCCAAGAUUCACAAUCUAAGGCCACAGAAAGAUGUUAGGCCACUCUAGCUCCAGCAACUCGGAGAGUGGGGAAAAUAGUUAUGAGACAGACAAAACUUCAGUCUUACUGAUUCAAAACUUCAGUCUCACUGAAUCUGAUGUGUGUGAUACGCCUUGGAUCCAAACGACUCAGGCACCUAUUUCUUGGGUGCUGAAUGAAUGCAACCACAACACAAAUAGGCUGGCAUGGGAGCCCAGAGGAUGCACUUUCAUACUGACUUAUAUGACUAGGAUGGAGCACAAAAAUGGGGAAAAAGGAAAAAGCAGACAAGGAUGAGAUCUAUUUCAUUUUCCUUCAUUUCCCGUUUCGCAGUGAAUCUACAUACACUCUGUAAUUAUUGAGAGACUGUGUGUUUGCUAUAUGACAAUUCAGGGCACUAACCAUUUGAUUCUGGAAGAGGUUUUAUUUGGACAUCUGUAGAAACAGGCAUUUUUCUCACUUGUGGAGGUGAAGCUAUGACACACAAAGUUUGACAAAUUGCUGUUCAGGAGACGAUAGCUGAGGGGUCUCAAGAAAAUUGUAAGUUAGAAAAACCAAAGCAUAA
Serinus canaria (Common canary) is the source of this 753-nucleotide long non-coding RNA. RefSeq lists it as uncharacterized. The record is from RefSeq and is a predicted model, not a curated record. Lineage: Eukaryota; Metazoa; Chordata; Aves; Passeriformes; Fringillidae. The transcript is spliced from 3 exons.